AAUAGCGUGUUUAGUAAAUAAAUGUAUUCAAGUGUGUAAUUGUGCGAAUAUGGAUAAUCUUUUCAUUACGAUAAUCGAAAUACCGAGGAAGUGAAUAUUAUAUAUGCGGCGAACCAUCAUCAUUUUUUGCGUGGCUUUGGUGCAGGUGCGACGAUGUGUGAUUAGUCGCGAGUUCGCGAGUCGUGUUUUUAUUCUGCGUUUCGUCUUUUCGACGGUCACAAAACUAACGUUCAAUAAUUAACAACGAAAAAGACCCGUGAAUCGAUCGAGUGACUACUGAUAAUAUCAUUAUUGCGAAAGUUUAGUGUAAUAACCGUGUUCUGCUCCUAUUCUGGUGUCGUCUUGGGGGAGCUUCCGACGCAGUGCAAGUGCAACAGGAGUGCACUUCAUUACGCGCGCGAGUGGAAGAAGCAGCAGCAGUCGGUCUCGUGUCAGUGUCCUUCAAAAGGAAAAACGGAAGCAAAUUUUCACUUCGGAAAAGGCAAAAAUCGUUCGCCUUGACGCAUUAUUUAUUACUGUUUCCUCUUUUGGGGGGUGAGCAAAGCGGUGGAGUUCUUUGUCCCAUCAGCAGCAUUUGGUUGUUUGGUGUUUGUCUGGUUCGGAUGUGGUGAUAAUUGAAUAAAAUUCUUAUCAGCAAUAAGUCGGGCAAGAGCUUCGUGAGUAAUCCUCCUACGAAAAGACCAUUUGCAAUGGAUCAUCGCAAAUAAACAUACAAAUACAAAUAGUGCGUGAAACACACUGUUGCCUAGUGUAAUAAGCACCCACAUCGACGUAUAUUGUGAACCGUGUGCUAGUGAAUGCAGUUCUACUGAUAAAAAUACCUAAGCUUUACGAAUAGUCGUGUGGUAGCGUAUUUACUACUUCGAGAAAAAAGUGAAAUCAUAACACACUUGUUGUGACUAAAUAAAAGAAAUUAAUACACUCAUUAGCGAAGAAUAUUGUGAUCAUUGAGCCCAGUGUUGAUUGAUUAGCAUCCAGCACAUAAUCCUGUGAGUGUGGUGAGCGAAAGAAACAUGUCAACAACGGGCCGAAGAAGAAAAUCAAUAGCCACCCCGAAAGGGUGGCGGCAGCAACCACUAUCAGCGAUUGUCCCAUCCUCCCACAUAGCCAGCAAUUGCUGCAACCAGUGGAUAAUGAUGAUGAUCGUGGCCGUGACGGCACUGGUAGCAACAUAUCCUGUCGGAUCCGAGGCAAACAGUUUGGCCCUAAUCGGUGAGAAUUGCAUCGUAACGGAGCCCUUAUACAACAUAACGUUCAAUCUGACGGAGCUGGACUCGGAACUAGCCCACCACGUCAAAUCGGACAUCAACGAGCGCUUCCUGUUCGACGUUUGCGAUCAUCUGAAAAAUCCCUGCAACGGCAUUUCCGGCGGAGCAGCAUGUUUGUAUCGGAACAACCAGACCCAGGUGCUGCUGGGGAUGCAAUCGACGCUGCAGUUGACCGAUGGGCGACUCCAUUUCAACUUCACCGGCGGAGAACCCUGUCGCAAUGGAAGGAACUUCUCGCUGGACAUAAUACUGAUGUGCAGCUAUUCGACCGUGCAGGAGCCGUUGAGUGUAAUUCCUUACUCUGCGGAUCAGUGCGGGUAUUUUAUGUUCUGGACAACGAAACUGGCCUGCGCUCCGUUGCCGGAUCGAGUCAAAACGAACGAGUGCGCCGUCAAGGACGAAACGGGUUACACUUUCAACCUUCUGCCGCUGAGUCACUUGCGGUAUCACGUCCCAGACCGCAGUGGAUCGCACUUUUUUGUGACUGCGUGCAAGCCAAUUCACUACGGUCAUAUGACCAUGUGUCCACCGGGAAGUAGCGUUUGCUUCGUCAACAGUACUGAAUCGGACUACAGGAAACGGUACCACGACUACGGUCAAACGGAUCCGAACCCGACGAUCGAGAAUGGCAAACUGGUGAUGAAUAUGAAUUCCAGCGAAGGAAAAUGCCAAAACUCCAAGAUCAUAUUCGAGUGUGAUCCUACCGCGCAGGAAGAGGCCCCGGAAUAUGUGGCCAAGGAAGGAUGUGUGCAUUUGUUCGAAUGGCGAACGCCGUUGGCUUGCAAGGAGAAGAAAUUUUGCGCUGUGGUCGAUCCCAGCAGUGGAAUGAUGUUCAACAUGAGUUCGUUGGCAGGACAGAGCUACACAGUGAAGGAAGCCAACAGGUCGUACGAGUUCGGGAUCUGCAAAAUGGACAAGAGUCAGUGCGGAGAAGGAUCUGGAGCAUGUGAGCUGACCAAGGAUAACUCAGAAGUCGUUGGCUUGGGCAACCUAAACGACGAUCUGCUGUAUAACAUAACCGGAGCUCCUUACUUGCUGUACAAAUCUGGUUCCAUUUGUAAGCAGCCGGAUCAAAGAUGGUCCACAAAGAUCGAGUUCAUCUGCGAAACGGAUAAAGGGGCCAAGGCUGAACCUAAGCUGGUGGAGAACAACAACUGUGAGGUUUACAUUCAAAUGGAAACGGAGCUUGCGUGCACGGAACCAAUCUCAUGCGUUGCCACGAACCUCUCCAAUGAUCAGCAAAUCGAUCUAAGUCCGUUGAUUUCCGCCGAAUACAAUUACGAAGCACUGGUGAAUGAGACACUUGCUAUUGCCAAGGACAAGAAAUUCUUCUUGAAUGUGUGUCGCCCUUUGCUCUCAAUUUACGGGCUAGGAUGCCCUGGUGGGUCCGCUGCUUGCAUGGCCGUUCAGAGUGCUAACGACCCAACACCGAAGGAAGAGCUUUCAAUGGGCUAUCCGGACAUUUCACUGAUCAUAGUCCGCGAUCGUGUUCAACUGAAGUAUCUGCGGGGCAGCGAUUGCCCCCAGGAUAAAGACACAAAACUUUCCACGGAGAUUGAAUUCUACUGCCAGCCGAAAGCCGGCCGCGGUGUACCGAUCUUGCAGGAAGUGAUGCACGACUGCCACUACCGGUUCGAGUGGGCCACCAAUGUGAUGUGCCCACAGUAUGAGGGGGAGUUUCAUGCGAAAACGUGCUCCAUUGUGAGCAACGAUACGGACGUGAGGGUGGAUUUGCAGAAAAUUUUUCCCAAUGGGGAGUUGGAUGUGAAUCAGCGCAAAAAUAGUGCCUCACAGGAGCUGCGAGAUGGCAAGGUACAGCUUUGUACGAAGAACGUUACGGCCGUGAUCGAUUACCGAGAUCGGGCGGUGAAGAUGUUCUUUGCUGUUGCAGACGCGAGCUGCGAGGGAACCGGAGGAAACAUCAACGUUAAUCUGAAAUUGGAAUGCGGUAAUUCUUCCAGUUUCAUCAUAAAUGAGCAAAGCCCCUGUCACCUGAUACUGAAGCAAGUGUCCCCUCAGGUUUGCCCUCUGGUAGGCGCUUCUGGUAGCGAAGAUCACCCAACGGGUACAACUACAACGAUUAAGCCACCGGGACCCACGAGUAUCGUAACGCCAACAAAGAGCCCCAUUACGUCAACUGCCAUUCCGACAGCGGCAACUAGCAGCAGUACGCCGGCUUCGGAGAAGUCUGAUGGGGAUUCCAAAGCUCCUAGCGAUGUACAUGGCAACACUGAUUCCGGCGGUGGUUCUGUGGGUAUCAUCUUGGCCGUUUUGACACUGAUUUCGCUGACCGGUGCCGGUGGGUUCAUGCUGUUACGAAACCCCGAAAGGCGCGACCAGCUGCGGGCGCUGUUCCGCCGACGGAACGUACUGGUGCAGUAUUCGAGGGACAAUUUGGCAGAUGAUUUUUAGUUUGCUUGCGCCCCAUCCAGCUGCCGUUUGCACCCGUUUGUUUUAUGCUGCCGUAUUGCGUGCUUCACUGUAGUCCACGUCUCACCGCCACUGAAGACCCGCGUCAAAGGUCCGUACCAGCAACGAUGAGGCUAGCCUGUUGAUGAACCCAACCGCGACUUUGUCCGAUAGCGACGACGAAAUGCUGAUUUAAAACAUCUUAUUCGCCCUUUCUAUCGCAUUACACCACAACAAUAAGAGUCACAUGUUCGCGCCUUAAAAAUCAAACAAACUUGAUAACCAAUUUUUGUAAAACUCAACGAAAGUCUAUCCGUAAGUAUUGGAUGGGCAGCGACGGUGACGAAGGAACCAAAUAUUUUACGAGAGAAGACGACGAACGGUGCCGGAUUUGGAGAGGCGAGAAAGUUCGCGGUGAUCAGUUAGUCAAAUUAUCUUAAGUGAAACAUGAUUUCAUUUUUUUCUAGAAUAAUUUUUAACCAAAACAAUUUGUUUUAGCGUAGGAAGUCAUCCGAGCCUGGCUCAAUUUUGUGUUACUUAAUCUUUAGAGAAGAAACAGAUCAGACUUUGUAGAGUGAGUGAGAGUGAUUUCAUCUUUUGAGUACUUUUUAAUAAUAAGGUUAAUGAAAAUUGAUGAAACUUUCAAAGAGCAACUAAGAAAGACUAAACCAGGUUAAACGGGAAGUAUACUGUACUGGAGCGAAGGCGAUGUGUUAGGGAAAUUUGAGUGAUUUAAGAGAAGGAAGUCAACUAUUUUACAACACACGCUUUAAUCUUCAAGAGAAAGAAUAUUACAAUGUCAUCAGAUUGAAGGAUUAUAAACUUAUUUAAAAAGGA
RNA transcript from Aedes aegypti (yellow fever mosquito), 4514 nucleotides. It is a transcript of the gene named cation-independent mannose-6-phosphate receptor, with no coding region annotated. NCBI's taxonomy places the organism in Eukaryota, Metazoa, Arthropoda, Insecta, Diptera, Culicidae. The transcript is spliced from 11 exons. The record is from RefSeq and is a predicted model, not a curated record.